AACGAACGCUGGCGGCAGGCUUAACACAUGCAAGUCGAGCGCCUCGCCAGAGGAGCGGCAGACGGGUGAGUAACGCGUGGGAACGUACCCUUAUCUUCGUAAUAGCUCUGGGAAACUGGAAGUAAUACCGAAUGUGCCCUUAGGGGGAAAGAUUUAUCGGAUAAGGCACGGCUCGCGUUUGAUGAGCUAGCUGGCGGGGUAAAGGCCUACCAAGGCGGCGAUGGAUAGCCGGUCUGAGGGGAUGAGCAGCCACAUUGGAACUGAGACACGGCCCAAACUCCGGCGGGAGGCCGCGGCAGGGACUCUUCGGGAAGGGGCGAGAGGGGGACGGAGCAACGGGGCGGGAGUGAUGAACGUCCUCUGAGCGGAAAAAUAUGUUAUUAGGGGAGAAGAAAUGUGUAAGCAACGGUGAACAUAUUGACGGUACCUAAUCAGAAAGCCACGGCUAACUACGUG
Molecule: ribosomal RNA, 456 nt
Filed under: uncultured bacterium
Lineage: Bacteria
Description: partial 16S ribosomal RNA
Rfam family: Bacterial small subunit ribosomal RNA
Source: RNAcentral